GCCGCGGUGGCCUAGCGGUUAUGGCUCUCGACUGCUGAUCGCAAGUUCGCGGGAUCGAAUCCCGGUCGCGGCG
This is a non-coding RNA of Rhipicephalus sanguineus (brown dog tick), 73 nucleotides long. The record is from the annotation of a RefSeq genome assembly. Lineage: Eukaryota; Metazoa; Arthropoda; Arachnida; Ixodida; Ixodidae.